GUACCCUUUAGCAACCUCCUUCAUGCCUGCUAAUCCAGAUUUAGAAGACCCCCCUUUGCAGUGAAGUGAGAUCACCAUCAGCCCUCGAUUGCGUGAGCGAGAAAGAUCUUGAAUAUAUUUUNNUCAAAAGCCUCAAGUCUAACUUUCCCUUUGACUUCGAUAAAAUUAGGCCACUUGCAAGCAGGCAUCUUCUCACCACUUUUAAAGGAGGCUAUAGCAGACACAGUUAUAGAGGAAUUUAGCUGAAGGGAUCCAUCCCAGAGAUUCUCAGCAACUAUUGGAGCUAAUUUUCCGGCAUGUGAUUUGCUUUUGUCAUCUGGUGAUUCAGAAGAUCCAACACUUAUGCCAUUUCUUUCAUUUAUAUUUCCAUCCUUAGCAACAACAUUAGCAGAACUAUUGUCAUUCUUGCGAGAAAUCAUCUCUUCCAAUGAAUGCCUGGACUUCUCCAUAUCUGCUCCUGUUUUCUUCAUAAUUGGGACACCGCCAACUCCUUGACCUCGAUCAUUUACACUGGCAUUAUCUCUGAAUCUAGUAGCUAAAUAACCACUGCCAGAUUGUACAUCAUUCAUCAAUGGCCUAUUGUUUUCAUUUUGUUCAAUGCAAGUGUUAGUCACAGACAAAGUUGCCCCAACAGUCAUGCCAUCAUUAAUUUUUGUGGCAUUUGAACCGUUCUUCUCCCAGGGAAAUAAUUUCUCAUGUGAAUUUCCCCCAUGCCCAUUACGGCUAACAUUAUUUUGGUCCAAAACUAGCAAGCGUCCUAAAUUUUCAGAUGUUGAACUGAAAGAAACAGAAUCUACAGACUGAGGAAGAGAAUUUCCAUGAUCAUUUAUCACGUUUAGCUCCCCAGAAAAGUCAUGUUGAUCUGUGGUUAAUUUUCUCUUUCUUGUUGAAU
This 892-nucleotide unclassified non-coding RNA is filed under the name Hevea brasiliensis (rubber tree). The record is from RNAcentral. Lineage: Eukaryota; Viridiplantae; Streptophyta; Magnoliopsida; Malpighiales; Euphorbiaceae.